This is a long non-coding RNA of Mya arenaria, 315 nucleotides long. RefSeq lists it as uncharacterized. Lineage: Eukaryota; Metazoa; Mollusca; Bivalvia; Myida; Myidae. The record is from RefSeq and is a predicted model, not a curated record. The transcript has 4 exons.
AGACAAUAUUCGAAGAAAUUCUGGCAGUCAGGUUACUAGAUUUAUAUCGCCAGUUAUGGACACACGAUUCAUUUGCAAGGCUAAUGAUAAUUGUUACAUUACUAUUAUCACGGCGAAAACCCAGUUAUGCGACCAAGUGAUUAAUUGUUGCAAUGGAGAAGACGACAUUCACAUCUUCAUCACACAAGAGUCAAUUGGUGUAUGCGUAACUGAAAUCGUUGUGCACACUUUGAAUGAGGGACAAGAACAAACCAUUUGCACCAAAGCUGGAAUAAACGGAACAACUCUCAACUUCACAGUACUUGCACUUACACC